GCACAAGCGGUGGAGCAUGUGGAUUAAUUCGAUGCAACGCGAAGAACCUUACCUGGGUUUGACAUGCACCAGACGCGUCCAGAGAUGGGCGUUCCCUUGUGGCUGGUGUGCAGGUGGUGCAUGGCUGUCGUCAGCUCGUGUCGUGAGAUGUUGGGUUAAGUCCCGCAACGAGCGCAACCCUUGUCCUAUGUUGCCAGCGGGUGAUGCCGGGGACUCAUCGAAGACUGCCGGGGUCAACUCGGAGGAAGGUGGGGAUGACGUCAAGUCAUCAUGCCCCUUAUGUCCAGGGCUUCACGCAUGCUACAAUGGCCGGUACAAAGGGUUGCGAUGCCGUGAGGUGGAGCGAAUCCCAAAAAGCCGGUCUCAGUUCGGAUCGGGGUCUGCAACUCGACCCCGUGAAGUCGGAGUCGCUAGUAAUCGCAGAUCAGCAACGCUGCGGUGAAUACGUUCCCGGGC
RNAcentral lists this ribosomal RNA (456 nucleotides) under uncultured bacterium. RNAcentral's name for it is "bacterial SSU rRNA". It matches the Rfam family "Bacterial small subunit ribosomal RNA", at positions 923 to 1379 of the family's 1533-position model. The record is from RNAcentral.